Molecule: ribosomal RNA, 1448 nt
Filed under: Salmonella enterica subsp. enterica serovar Braenderup
Lineage: Bacteria; Pseudomonadati; Pseudomonadota; Gammaproteobacteria; Enterobacterales; Enterobacteriaceae
Description: bacterial LSU rRNA
Rfam family: Bacterial large subunit ribosomal RNA
Source: RNAcentral
GGGUUGUGAGGUUAAGCGACUAAGCGUACACGGUGGAUGCCCUGGCAGUCAGAGGCGAUGAAGGACGUGCUAAUCUGCGAUAAGCGCCGGUAAGGUGAUAUGAACCGUUAUAACCGGCGAUUUCCGAAUGGGGAAACCCAGUGUGACUCGUCACACUAUCAUUAACUGAAUCCAUAGGUUAAUGAGGCGAACCGGGGGAACUGAAACAUCUAAGUACCCCGAGGAAAAGAAAUCAACCGAGAUUCCCCCAGUAGCGGCGAGCGAACGGGGAGGAGCCCAGAGCCUGAAUCAGCAUGUGUGUUAGUGGAAGCGUCUGGAAAGGCGCGCGAUACAGGGUGACAGCCCCGUACACAAAAGCGCAUGUGCUGUGAGCUCGAUGAGUAGGGCGGGACACGUGGUAUCCUGUCUGAAUAUGGGGGGACCAUCCUCCAAGGCUAAAUACUCCUGACUGACCGAUAGUGAACCAGUACCGUGAGGGAAAGGCGAAAAGAACCCCGGCGAGGGGAGUGAAAAAGAACCUGAAACCGUGUACGUACAAGCAGUGGGAGCCCCACCACUAAGCCAGUGGUGAACUCCACAUACGCAUCCUUUGCUGAGGAUACGGUUAACGGAGCGAAAGCGACGUUCAACCUCAAAAGAAGCAGAGGGGGCUUAGUGGUGGGGUGACUGCGUACCUUUUGUAUAAUGGGUCAGCGACUUAUAUUCUGUAGCAAGGUUAACCGUAUAGGGGAGCCGGAGGGAAACCGAGUCUUAAUUGGGCGUUAAGUUGCAGGGUAUAGACCCGAAACCCGGUGAUCUAGCCAUGGGCAGGUUGAAGGUUGGGUAACACUAACUGGAGGACCGAACCGACUAAUGUUGAAAAAUUAGCGGAUGACCUGUGGCUGGGGGUGAAAGGCCAAUCAAACCGGGAGAUAGCUGGUUCUCCCCGAAAGCUAUUUAGGUAGCGCCUCGUGAAUUCAUCUCCGGGGGUAGAGCACUGUUUCGGCUAGGGGGCCAUCCCGGCUUACCAACCCGAUGCAAACUGCGAAUACCGGAGAAUGUUAUCACGGGAGACACACGGCGGGUGCUAACGUCCGUCGUGAAGAGGGAAACAACCCAGACCGCCAGCUAAGGUCCCAAAGUCAUGGUUAAGUGGGAAACGAUGUGGGAAGGCCCAGACAGCCAGGAUGUUGGCUUAGAAGCAGCCAUCAUUUAAAGAAAGCGUAAUAGCUCACUGGUCGAGUCGGCCUGCGCGGAAGAUGUAACGGGGCUAAACCAUGCACCGAAGCUGCGGCAGCGACGCUUAUGCGUUGUUGGGUAGGGGAGCGUUCUGUAAGCCUGCGAAGGUGGCCUGUGAGGGUUGCUGGAGGUAUCAGAAGUGCGAAUGCUGACAUAAGUAACGAUAAAGCGGGUGAAAAGCCCGCUCGCCGGAAGACCAAGGGUUCCUGUCCAACGUUAAUCGGGGCAGG